UAUCGCGAGUCUAGAGUUUGAUCCUGGCUCAGGAUUAACGCUGGCGACAUGCCUAAUACAUGCAAAUCGAACGAAGCCUUUUGGCUUAGUGGUGAACGGGUGAGUAACACGUAUCCAAUCUACCCUUAAGUUUGGGAUAACUAAUCGAAAGAUUAGCUAAUACCGGAUAAUAACAUUCACUUGCAUGAGUGAAUGUGGAAAGUUGCGUCUGCAACGCUUUUGGAUGAGGGUGCGACGUAUCAGAUAGUUGGUGAGGUAACGGCUCACCAAGUCAUUGACGCGUAGCUGUACUGAGAGGUAGAACAGCCACAAUGGGACUGAGACACGGCCCAU
This 333-nucleotide ribosomal RNA is filed under the name uncultured bacterium. Its description in RNAcentral is "bacterial SSU rRNA". It matches the Rfam family "Bacterial small subunit ribosomal RNA", at positions 1 to 334 of the family's 1533-position model. The record is from RNAcentral.